UACGUAGGGUGCAAGCGUUAAUCGGAAUUACUGGGCGUAAAGCGUGCGCAGGCGGUUUUGUAAGUCUCUCGUGAAAGCCCCGGGCUCAACCUGGGAAUUGCGAUGGAGACUGCAAGGCUUGAAUCUGGCAGAGGAGGGUAGAAUUCCACGUGUAGCAGUGAAAUGCGUAGAGAUGUGGAGGAACACCGAUGGCGAAGGCAGCCCCCUGGGUCAAGAUUGACGCUCAUGCACGAAAGCGUGGGGAGCAAACAGG
RNAcentral lists this ribosomal RNA (253 nucleotides) under uncultured bacterium. RNAcentral describes it as "partial 16S ribosomal RNA". It matches the Rfam family "Bacterial small subunit ribosomal RNA", at positions 524 to 776 of the family's 1533-position model. The record is from RNAcentral.